CUACAUCCCCUGAUCCCAAGGCAUUGCCCACUCUGACACUCACGGCCACACUGAAGCCCAGAGGCACCUGAGAAGCAACAGACAAAGAAGAGCACUGCCCAAGCUCCCAAGCCUGCAGCCAAGACCCAAGCUACCAUCCAGCAAACACCAGGAAGACCUUCAGCAGUGUCUGAAGAGAAAGCCAAGAAGGUGGCUCCUGUUUCAGGGCCUGCAGGGCUGAGACCUGAUAUGCUGCUGAUCAGAGAGGAGUCACACUCAAUCUCACUCUGACCUGGAGACCUCGGGGUCCUGCUGGAGGAGCAGGAGGAUCUGCUCAGUGUUGAUGAGGAUCGCCCAGCAAGGAAAGCAAAACAGCAGCAGGAUGAGGAUCCCUCGCUGCAGGAUGGUGCCCACUUGCUUCAGGUUUUUGCUGCCAUAUGUCUACGUGAGGACAGAGGACCAAACAGCGGCCACCACCAGGCUGGUUGGGUUUAACUGGCUCUCGGGUGCAUUGUGCUUCCCUCUGCUAUCCAUCCUCCCACCUUUUGUGCCCCACACCACACAGGAGGUGAGACAACCCCACCAGUAACAAGGAAGAGGGAGCUGCCACCAACCUGGGACAUCAGCGUGUCACAUGCCGAGGCCAGACCAGAACCAACGGAGAUGCCGAUCACAUUGAUGACCUGGAGGAGAUACGAGUGACUUGGCAAGGAUUGGUGAUGCUGUCACAGACACUGAGCUCAGGACCUCAUUUUUCCAUGGCAAGAGGUCAACCCCGAUGCAGCAUGGAACUGCUGGAAGAGGAUGGUAAGAGCAAGAGAUCCCGUGGCAGGUGGGUACAGCUGGGGAGCCAUGCCUGGGGGCUGCUCACAGUCCUGUCUUCCUUGCAGGCUCCAGAGCUGCUGGAGAACUGGCUCCUGCGAGGUCUGAGGAAGAACCAAACCAAACCUCCCACUGCUGCCUGCGGAUGCUGCGCUGUCUCAGGCCCGUCUCAGCACGUCCAAGCAGCUGUGAGUAAUCCCUGCAGGAGAGCUCUGUACCUCUGUGACUGCUCUAGCACAGAGAGCUAAACCUGGCAAGCAGCACUAGGUUUGCUUUGAGGCUCUCUGUGCCCACCAAGCAGGGGAUGGAAGCGUUGAGGGGCUGAUGGGCACUGCUACGGAACAGAAACCACCGUGACUUCCUCUGCUGCACCGCGGCAUUGGGGCCACGUGAGUGUCACUGAGGACAAAGCUGCUCCGCUUGGUCCUCGUCCACCAGGAGGGGCGGAGGGCUCAGAACACAGAGCAUCCAGUUAGACGGAUUUUCAGCCCAAGCCAGCAGCAAAGCCCGGGCUCCCAGCGCACCGCCGGGGGAAGGAUACGGCUGGAAGGGAAUCCGCCGCGCUGGGUGACAGCUAAAGGAUGAACCACAGCCGAGCC
Tympanuchus pallidicinctus (lesser prairie-chicken) is the source of this 1400-nucleotide long non-coding RNA. RefSeq lists it as uncharacterized. Lineage: Eukaryota; Metazoa; Chordata; Aves; Galliformes; Phasianidae. The record is from RefSeq and is a predicted model, not a curated record. The transcript has 5 exons.